CAGAACGAACGCUGGCGGCGCGUUUAAGCAUGCAAGGUCGAGCGGCAGGGGGGCUCGGUCCCCCGAGAGCGGCGGACGGGUGAGUAACACGUGGACAACCUGCCCCCCGGUUCGGGAUAGCCCAGGGAAACCUGGAUCAAUACCGGAUGCGAGGGCGGCCGCACAAGCGGCCGUCGGGAAAGGCGCUUCGGCGCCGCCGGGGGAUGGGUCCGCGUCCCAUUAGCUAGGCGGUGGGGUAACGGCCCACCGUGGCGAUGAUGGGUAGCCGGCCUGAGAGGGUGGACGGCCACAUUGGAACUGAGACACGGCCCAAACUCCUACGGGAGGCAGCAGCUAAGAAUAUUCCGCAAUGGACGAAAGUCUGACGGAGCGACGCCGCGUGGAAUGACGAAGGCCGAAAGGUUGUAAAAAUCCUUUUGCUGAUGAAGAAUAAGCGUGGUAGGGAAUGACCGCGUGAUGACAUUAGUCGGUGAAUAAGCCCCGGCUAACUACGUGCCAGCCGCCGC
RNAcentral lists this ribosomal RNA (506 nucleotides) under uncultured bacterium. Its description in RNAcentral is "bacterial SSU rRNA". It matches the Rfam family "Bacterial small subunit ribosomal RNA", at positions 25 to 518 of the family's 1533-position model. The record is from RNAcentral.